GUAAGCUCUCUGCAACAGAUUCCUUUUUAUACUUUCCAGCCCACCAGAAUAUUGGAAAGGAAUUACGGGAAGGGGUCUGGCCUCUGUCUGUCAGCAAGGUGAUUUUCCCAAACCGAACAGAAUGGGACCAAAUCUGCUAUGCCUAAAGAAGAUGACAAAAGACAGCCUAAGCUUUAAAAAGGGCUGGAUGCGCCCGGAGCCCCACCAGAAAUGGCCACAGAGGCCCGGAGCAGGAAGUCCCACAGCUGCUGUCCUCCCGGCGACACAGAAGGAGAGCAGGGGAAUCAACUGGAAACACACCUGGAAAAGAUGCCUCGGCUCCAACUUUGAAGGGUGUCCACAGGAUAUGGUGAAAAAGGUCAAGAUGAUGUUGAGACCCAAGCUCUGCUUUCUCUGUGCGUCACCUGCAACACCACUGGCUCCAAGCGUCAUUGAGUUUUUAAAAACUAAGAAUUUGUGGUAGAAAGACAAGUUCAUAGAAGAAUCACAUCACUUCAUGUGGGACAACAGUGAAUGGGUUGGAAAAAUCUCAUCCCGCAGGAGUGAAGGUUUUACAAGCUGCAGAAUUUU
Non-coding RNA from Python bivittatus (Burmese python), 570 nucleotides. Lineage: Eukaryota; Metazoa; Chordata; Lepidosauria; Squamata; Pythonidae. The record is from RefSeq and is a predicted model, not a curated record.